AUUGAACGCUGGCGGCAGGCCUAACACAUGCAAGUCGAACGGUAACAGGAAGCAGCUUGCUGCUUUGCUGACGAGUGGCGGACGGGUGAGUAAUGUCUGGGAAACUGCCUGAUGGAGGGGGAUAACUACUGGAAACGGUAGCUAAUACCGCAUAACGUCGCAAGACCAAAGAGGGGGACCUUCGGGCCUCUUGCCAUCGGAUGUGCCCAGAUGGGAUUAGCUAGUAGGUGGGGUAACGGCUCACCUAGGCGACGAUCCCUAGCUGGUCUGAGAGGAUGACCAGCCACACUGGAACUGAGACACGGUCCAGACUCCUACGGGAGGCAGCAGUGGGGAAUAUUGCACAAUGGGCGCAAGCCUGAUGCAGCCAUGCCGCGUGUAUGAAGAAGGCCUUCGGGUUGUAAAGUACUUUCAGCGGGGAGGAAGGUGUUGAGGUUAAUAACCUCAGCAAUUGACGUUACCCGCAGAAGAAGCACCGGCUAACCAGCCGCCGCCGUAACAC
Molecule: ribosomal RNA, 502 nt
Filed under: uncultured bacterium
Lineage: Bacteria
Description: bacterial SSU rRNA
Rfam family: Bacterial small subunit ribosomal RNA
Source: RNAcentral